UAGUUUUUUUCUCUCUUCCACCCACAGAAAGACCACAGUGUUGAUGUGUCCAUUCCUUUUACAGGAAGAGGAAGUUGUAGAGAUGAACAUGACAUCAGAUCGUCUUUAAGCAUUUGUACAUUUCUAAUUCUGUCAAAGCCCCAUUUGUGUCACAGCCGAAGGAAAAGUGGGGGUCCGGAGGACACGCUGGUGUCGACAGUCGCUUACAAGAAGCUCAGAAUGGAGCACACUUCACUUUAUGUGCUAAUCUUGCUGAGUACACACAUCUACUCUGGACACUCUGAAGAUGAUGAUGGACGGGCAAAGGCUGUUCUGACCAUACACCCCAAAUACUCCCAGAUAUUCAGUGGAGAGUCUGUCACUCUCAGAUGUAACAUACAGAGGGGAGAAGUCACUGACUGGGAAUACACAUGGGAAAAUGUUGGUAUACCCUUUCUCAGUAUGGAGCAUGAAUAUGAGAUCAGUGAGGUUAAGAUUUCAGACAGUGGUGACUACAGGUGUCUCGGUCUACAUAUUGAUCAGAAUACGUUUUCUGAGUGGAGUGAUGCAGUGAGACUGACGG
This is a long non-coding RNA of Coregonus clupeaformis (lake whitefish), 562 nucleotides long. RefSeq lists it as uncharacterized. The record is from RefSeq and is a predicted model, not a curated record. NCBI's taxonomy places the organism in Eukaryota, Metazoa, Chordata, Actinopteri, Salmoniformes, Salmonidae. The transcript is spliced from 3 exons.